GUCUACUGUUGAAUCCACAACAUCUCCUGGCCCUAGUUCUGAUGGAUUGAAUCGAUCAUCUUCUUGGUUUGACAUGAGUGGAGGUAGGCGUUUACCUGUGCCUUUUAGGACUCCUCCUGUCAGUCCCCCCCAGUCCAGUUUCUUAAGGGGAUUGCGAAGAGUUUAUUCUUUAGACUUCAGGCAUCGCCCAAUGAACUCUCAAGACUCAGGGUCAGCUGAUCCCCUCUUGGGUUCUGGUGGAUCUUCUAGAGCUUCAGAAUGCAGUUCUAUUCCUCAAUCAACCAUUUAUAAUUGGAGCUGUGGCCACUUCUCAAAGCCACUUCUUUCUGCAGAUGAUGAUAAUGAAGAGAACAUUUCUAGGAGAGAAGAGAAGGAGAAGUUAGCU
RNAcentral lists this unclassified non-coding RNA (385 nucleotides) under Hevea brasiliensis (rubber tree). The record is from RNAcentral. Lineage: Eukaryota; Viridiplantae; Streptophyta; Magnoliopsida; Malpighiales; Euphorbiaceae.